RNAcentral lists this ribosomal RNA (254 nucleotides) under uncultured bacterium. RNAcentral describes it as "partial 16S ribosomal RNA". It matches the Rfam family "Bacterial small subunit ribosomal RNA", at positions 524 to 776 of the family's 1533-position model. The record is from RNAcentral.
UACGGGGGGAGCAAGCGUUGUUCGGAUUUACUGGGCGUAAAGGGCGCGUAGGCGGCCACCGCAAGUCGAUUGUGAAAUCUCCGGGCUUAACCCGGAAAGGUCAACCGAUACUGCGGGGCUAGAGUGCGGAAGGGGCAACUGGAAUUCUUGGUGUAGCGGUGAAAUGCGUAGAUAUCAAGAGGAACACCUGCGGCGAAGGCGGGUUGCUGGGCCGACACUGACGCUGAUGCGCGAAAGCUAGGGGAGCAAACGGG